RNAcentral lists this ribosomal RNA (922 nucleotides) under uncultured bacterium. RNAcentral describes it as "bacterial SSU rRNA". It matches the Rfam family "Bacterial small subunit ribosomal RNA", at positions 8 to 916 of the family's 1533-position model. The record is from RNAcentral.
AGAGUUUGAUCCUGGGCUCAGGAUGAACGCUAGCUACAGGCUUAACACAUGCAAGUCGAGGGGCAGCAUUAUCUUAGCUUGCUAAAGAUAGAUGGCGACCGGCGCACGGGUGAGGUAACACGUAUCCAACCUUCCGGUUACUCGGGGGACAGGCUUUCGAAAGAAAGAUUAAUACCCGAUGUUGCGUAUCUUUCUCCUGAAAGAUACGCCAAAGGAUUCCGGUAACCGAUGGGGAUGCGUUCCAUUAGGCAGUUGGCGGGGUAACGGCCCACCAAACCUUCGAUGGAUAGGGGUUCUGAGAGGAAGGUCCCCCACAUUGGAACUGAGACACGGUCCAAACUCCUACGGGAGGCAGCAGUGAGGAAUAUUGGUCAAUGGACGCAAGUCUGAACCAGCCAAGUAGCGUGAAGGAUGACUGCCCUCUGGGUUGUAAACUUCUUUUAUACGGGAAUAACAUGAGGUACGCGUACCUUAUUGCAUGUACCGUUAUGAAUAAGCAUCGGCUAACUCCGUGCCAGCAGCCGCGGUAAUACGGAGGAUGCGAGCGUUAUCCGGAUUUAUUGGGUUUAAAGGGAGCGUAGGUGGGAUAUUAAGUCAGCUGUGAAAGUUUGGGGCUCAACCUUAAAAUUGCAGUUGAUACUGGUUUCCUUGAGUACGGUACAGGUGGGCGGAAUUCGUGGUGUAGCGGUGAAAUGCUUAGAUAUCACGAAGAACUCCGAUCGCGAAGGCAGCUCACCGGGCCGGAACUGACACUGAUGCUCGAAAGUGCGGGUAUCAAACAGGAUUAGAUACCCCUGGUAGUCCGCACAGUAAACGAUGAAUACUCGCUGUUUGCGAUACACUGUAAGCGGCCAAGCGAAAGCGUUAAGUAUUCCACCUGGGGAGUACGCCCGGCAACGGUGAAACUCAAAGGAAUUGACGG